GAUGAAGAACGCAGCUAAACGCGAUAAGUAAUGUGAAUUGCAGAAUCCAGUGAAUCAUCGAAUCUUUGAACGCACAUUGCGCCCGCCAGCAUUCUGGCGGGCAUGCCUGUUCGAGCGUCAUUUCAACCCUCGACCUCCCCUUGGGGAGGUCGGCGUUGGGGACCGGCAGCACACCGCCGGCCCUGAAAUGGAGUGGCGGCCCGUCCGCGGCGACCUCUGCGCAGUAAUACAGCUCGCACCGGGACCCCGACGCGGCCACGCCGUAAAACACCCAACUUCUGAACGUUGACCUCGAAUCAGGUAGGACUACCCGCUGAACUUAAGCAUAUCAAUAAGCGGAGGA
RNAcentral lists this unclassified non-coding RNA (343 nucleotides) under soil metagenome. Its description in RNAcentral is "partial contains 5.8S ribosomal RNA, internal transcribed spacer 2, and large subunit ribosomal RNA". The stretch from base 1 to 120 matches the Rfam family "5.8S ribosomal RNA", at positions 35 to 154 of the family's 154-position model. The record is from RNAcentral.